AUACUUGCCUGCCAGACGAGACACUGUGAUCACGAAGACUUUCCCAUGGCAAGGUUGAUUUAUUGCACGCUGAUGUGCUGACCUCUGCGAUUUCCCCAAAUGUGGGAAACCCAAUUGCAUAAUUUGUGGAAGUGAAGGAUUGUGUUUGUGCUUUCA
Small nuclear RNA from Macaca fascicularis (crab-eating macaque), 156 nucleotides. Its record names the gene U1. It matches the Rfam family "U1 spliceosomal RNA". Rfam says of the family: U1 is a small nuclear RNA (snRNA) component of the spliceosome (involved in pre-mRNA splicing). Lineage: Eukaryota; Metazoa; Chordata; Mammalia; Primates; Cercopithecidae. The record is from Ensembl.